AAGACCUUGCGCUUUUGGAGCGGCCGAUGCCUGAUUAGCUUGUUGGUAAGGUAAAAGCUUACCAAGGCUUCGAUCAGUAGCUGGUCUGAGAGGACGACCAGCCACACUGGGACUGAGACACGGCCCAGACUCCUACGGGAGGCAGCAGUGGGGAAUUUUGGACAAUGGGGGCAACCCUGAUCCAGCCAUGCCGCGUGAGUGAAGAAGGCCUUCGGGUUGUAAAGCUCUUUCAGCCGGAACGAAACGGUUACGGAUAAUACCCGUGACUACUGACGGUACCGGAUGAAGAAGCACCGGCUAACUACGUGCCAGCAGCCGCGGUAAUACGUAGGGUGCGAGCGUUAAUCGGAAUUACUGGGCGUAAAGCGUGCGCAGGUGGUUUUGUAAGUCAGAUGUGAAAGCCCCGGGCUCAACCUGGGAACU
This 423-nucleotide ribosomal RNA is filed under the name uncultured bacterium. RNAcentral's name for it is "bacterial SSU rRNA". It matches the Rfam family "Bacterial small subunit ribosomal RNA", at positions 207 to 622 of the family's 1533-position model. The record is from RNAcentral.